GAUGAACGCUGGCGGCGUGCUUAACACAUGCAAGUCGUACGGAAAGGCUCCUGCGUGCGGGGGUACUCGAGGAGCGAGCGAGUGAGUCACGAGUGGGUGAUCUGCCCUGCAGUUCUAGCUAAGCGUGGGAAACUGGGUCUAAUACCGGAUAGUACCACAUUAUGGAUGGUGUGGGGGAAAGUUUUUCGGUGUGGGAUGAGCUGCCGGCCUAUAGGCUGGUUGGUGGGGUAAUGGCCUCCCAGGGCGUCGACGGGUGGCCGGCCUGGGGGGUUGCACGGCCACAUGGGGACGGGGAUACGGCCCAGACUCCUACGGGAGGCAGCAGUGGGGAUUAUGGACCAAGGGGGGCAGGCCUGUGGCAGCAACGCCGGUGGGGGGAUGACGGCUUUCGGGUUGUAAACGCCUUCCGCAAGGGACGAAGCGCAAGUGACGGUACCUGGAGAAGAAGCACCGGCUAACUACGUG
RNAcentral lists this ribosomal RNA (465 nucleotides) under uncultured bacterium. RNAcentral's name for it is "partial 16S ribosomal RNA". It matches the Rfam family "Bacterial small subunit ribosomal RNA", at positions 28 to 507 of the family's 1533-position model. The record is from RNAcentral.